UACAGAGGGGGCAAGCGUUAUUCGGAAUUAUUGGGCGUAAAGGGCGCGUAGGCGGCUUUGCAAGUGGCGGGUGAAAUCCCUCGGCUUAACCGAGGAACUGCCUGCCAGACUGUGAGGCUUGAGACCGGGAGAGGUGAGUGGAAUUCACAGUGUAGCGGUGAAAUGCGUAGAUAUUGGGAGGAACACCAGUGGCGAAGGCGGCUCACUGGACCGGAACUGACGCUGAGGCGCGAAAGCGUGGGGAGCAAACAGG
This 253-nucleotide ribosomal RNA is filed under the name uncultured bacterium. RNAcentral's name for it is "partial 16S ribosomal RNA". It matches the Rfam family "Bacterial small subunit ribosomal RNA", at positions 524 to 776 of the family's 1533-position model. The record is from RNAcentral.